GUCUACAGCCAUGCUACCCUAAACAAGACUGAUCCCGUAUGAUCUCGGAAGCUAAGCAGAAUUGGGCCUGGUUAGUACUUGGAUGGGAGACCACCUAGGAAGACCAGGUGCUGUAGGUG
This 119-nucleotide ribosomal RNA is filed under the name Pteropus alecto (black flying fox). Lineage: Eukaryota; Metazoa; Chordata; Mammalia; Chiroptera; Pteropodidae. The record is from RNAcentral.